UACGUAGGGUGCGAGCGUUAAUCGGAAUUACUGGGCGUAAAGCGUGCGCAGGCGGAUUUUUAAGCCAGAUGUGAAAUCCCCGGGCUUAACCUGGGAAUUGCGUUUUAAACUACAAGGCUAGAGUGUAGCAGAGGGGGGUGGAAUUCCACGUGUAGCAGUGAAAUGCGUAGAGAUGUGGAGGAACACCGAUGGCGAAGGCAGCCCCCUGGGAUAACACUGACGCUCAGGCACGAAAGCGUGGGGAGCAAACAGG
This 253-nucleotide ribosomal RNA is filed under the name uncultured bacterium. RNAcentral describes it as "partial 16S ribosomal RNA". It matches the Rfam family "Bacterial small subunit ribosomal RNA", at positions 524 to 776 of the family's 1533-position model. The record is from RNAcentral.